This is a long non-coding RNA of Numida meleagris (helmeted guineafowl), 613 nucleotides long. RefSeq lists it as uncharacterized. Lineage: Eukaryota; Metazoa; Chordata; Aves; Galliformes; Numididae. The transcript is spliced from 2 exons. The record is from RefSeq and is a predicted model, not a curated record.
GACUGUGUGAUGGGAUUUUCCCCUUGAAAAAGGGGUGCCUUUUGAGGUAGUAUCUGCUGUAAAAACCCCUUAAACCUUCGUGCUAAAAGAUGCCUUCCAGGUACAGAUCCUUGCCUUCUGAGCAUGGUAGCUGAUGUUCCGAUCUGGAUCACGGAACUGCACAGAUUUCCUAGAACUUUUGUUAGGUCUUCUAGAGAUGCCACCAGUUACAAGACACAGCUAUGUGUUGUAUUACAGGCUGUCGUCAGUGAUCUUCAGCUCGCUGUGAACGAUUUCUUACACUUUUACACUAUGUUUUGGUUUUCUCUAUGCUUUUAGUUUGUACUCAUAACAAUGUUUGCUGAGUCUGGUAAUUCUUCUUGUCAGACUGGAGGUACUGGAACUUGAAGCUUUUUUGCAUCAUAAAUCAGUACCAUCUCAGCAAGAACCUGAGCUCUCUUCAUUCCGUGAAGAGAAUAAGCACUUUUUUGGACCAACCUCCCGUUCUGACAGUCGAUGAAAUUAAUGUUUUUGUUUUGCACUCCACUGCCAGAGUAACUGAUGCAGCAUAAAACAUUGAUCUGUAACUUGUCCAUUCAUCAAAACUUGAAUAAAACAGUUUUGUGAUAUCUUC